UCCAGCGGCUUUGUUUCUUUUUCCCACGUUUGUGCACUUUCACAGAUAUUAAACGGUUAAUAAACCACCAUUAUUACACAUUUAAACCCGAAGAAACACUAAAUAGACAAAAUAAAACAAAUCACACAACUUCACUCCUUGCGUUCCCGCCAAAAAGUCCAGUACAGGGGGGUGCAACUCCCGGGUGAAUGAAGUUAGCCCCUCAAAAAAAUUUUUCUUUCCUAUUUUCUACUUAUUUUCUAUUAAUUCGUUUGUUCAUCAUUUGUUCAUGAUUGUUCACUAUCAAUAAUUGUUUGUUCCUCAUUUAUUUAUUUAAAAAUAAUUAUUAAAAAUAUACCUACAAGUUAGCCCCUCAGUUGCAAUUUUUAAUAUUUUUUCGUCCUUAAUGACUCGGACAUAUUCAUUUUCGAUUGUUUUUAUAUAAAAUACGUUUGUUCUCUUUCGAAAUAACUCAUUUUUUGUUUAAUUAACUAUUUGUAUUAGUAUGCAAAAUAUGUGUACUGCGCAUGUGUCAACUAUAAUGCCUAAACCUUCUAUGCGGUUUUAAUUGUGAAAAAAAAACAAUUAUAAAUCCUGAAGGAUCAAUUAAUUGGUACAUAUACAGUUUAAUUAAAAAAAAAUAAAAAUAAAAAAUGAAAUAAUGUGCAUUCGCGUAAAGUUAGACCAAAUGCAUUUUUUCCAUACUCCUACCUAUCGUUAUAAAGGUAUAAAAAAAAGAUAGGUUAAGAGUUCACAUAGGUAAUAUAAACAAAUAAGUAAAUAUGUUCAUUAUUUCUCUUUUAAGAGAUAAUGUAGGUAUACAUUAUAAUAACUUUUUUACACAGUCGAAAUUAUAUUCAUAACAUUAGUAAAAUAACAUUUUAAUAUUUUUUUUAUAGGUUAUGUAUUGAAAGUGUUUGAAAAUUAUUUCAUGUUUUAGCUGGAAAACGACAUAGAGAAUUAUAUGCAAUACAAGAUAAUGGGCUUCAUCAAAUGAAUUCGAAUGAAACCAAACUGUUUACCAUCCAAAUUUGAUUGUUGGGCAGAUAGAAAACGAAAAUUCACUCAAAGUGAACCUCGGCCUGCAUUUGUGAAACGGCAAAGACUCACUAAUACUCACUGUUAUCAAGGAGAUUGGAGAGACGACUAAAAAUGAGAUGUGUCAUAUACCUUUGCCAUAUUGUAGUCAAGAUGUUCAGCCACUUGAAAAUAGGUGUAGUAAUGACAAAGCUAUCCAAGUAGCUCCAGCACAGGAACACAAAGGCAAGGCAAGUGUGUAUUGCCCCAUCACCCCUUAAUAUAUCUGAAGCAAGUACAAGUAAACAAUCAGAACAGUGAUGAGUCAAAUGCACCAGCAACAGAAGGAUCAGCUGUUGACUAUGAGUUAUCUCUCUAUAUCUCCACUCCAUCAAAGACUUGUGCACUUCAGAGUAUAGCUCUCAAGAAGACUACAAAAGUUGAAAAAAUGAAUCUGUUAACAACUUCAUCUAAAGUGAAAAAUAAACCACAUUUAUUUAUUGGACUUCCACAAGAAUUAUAUUUCAUAAUAGGCUUGAUUGAGAAACAUACAAAUGUUUCUGAACAAAAUAUUAUAUUAUGUUUGAUGAGAAUAAUAUUAAAUAGAACAUUCUCUCAAUUGGCUGAUGAUUUUGAUUUAUCUGUAAGUCAAGCAAGCAAUAUAUUUUUCAACAAACUCCCAGAAAUUGCAAAUGUAAUAUCACCCCUUGUUAAAAAAAAACAAUACAAUAAAUAUAUAUGCAGGAAGGAUAAUUGAUGUCAACUUGGUGGAAAAUAGAAAGUUUUUAGAUAGUUUGCCACCUACAAAACUCUUUAAUUAAAUAAGUAAUCCUUACUUAUAAAUAGGAAGUUUUGUAAGUAUUUUCACUCUUCAUUCAAAAACUACUGAACAGAUUUUAAUAAGACUUUUAUGCUGGUCUUCUAUGGCUAGCAACUCAUUAUUAUUUUGAUUCUGUUUUCCACAAAUGUGCUAAAUAUGGGCUUAUAUAUAUGAAAAGGAAUAAAUAUUAAUGUUAUGUAACCUUUGUACCUGUAUGUUAAGAAUAAUUUUUAAUAAAACAUAAUUUAAAUUGAAA
This is a long non-coding RNA of Bombyx mori (domestic silkworm), 2072 nucleotides long. RefSeq lists it as uncharacterized. The transcript is spliced from 2 exons. NCBI's taxonomy places the organism in Eukaryota, Metazoa, Arthropoda, Insecta, Lepidoptera, Bombycidae. The record is from RefSeq and is a predicted model, not a curated record.